This 305-nucleotide ribosomal RNA is filed under the name uncultured bacterium. RNAcentral's name for it is "bacterial SSU rRNA". It matches the Rfam family "Bacterial small subunit ribosomal RNA", at positions 337 to 659 of the family's 1533-position model. The record is from RNAcentral.
GCCUACGGGGGUCAGCAGUAGGGAAUAUUGCUCAAUGGGGGAAACCCUGAAGCAGCAACGCCGCGUGGAGGAUGAAGGUUUUCGGAUUGUAAACUCCUUUUGUCAGAGAAGAUAAUGACGGUAUCUAACGAAUAAGCACCAGCUAACUCCGUGCCAGCAGCCGCGGUAAUACGGAGUGUGCAAGCGUUACUCGGAAUCACUGGUCGUAAAGAGCGCGUAGGCGGGAUAGCAAGUCAGAUGUGAAAUCCUAUGGCUUAACCAUAGAACUGCAUUUGAAACUGUUAUUCUAGAGUAUGGGAGAGGUA